AGCAGCCGCGGUAAUUCCAGCUCCAAUAGCGUAUAUUAAAGUUGUUGCAGUUAAAAAGCUCGUAGUUGAAUUUCGGGAUCAAAUUGUCGGUCGUGCCUCGGUACGCACUGGUAUUAUUGGUUCCUACCUUCUGAAGAACCGCGAUGUCAUUAAUUUGGUGUCGUGGGGAAUCAGGACUGUUACUUUGAAAAAAUUAGAGUGUUUAAAGCAGGCUUACGCUUGAAUACAUUAGCAUGGAAUAAUGAAAUAGGACGUUUGAUUCUAUUUUGUUGGUUUCUAGGAUUGACGUAAUGAUUAAUAGGGAUAGUUGGGGGCAUUAGUAUUCAAUUGUCAGAGGUGAAAUUCUUGGAUUUAUUGAAGACUAACUACUGCGAAAGCAUUUGCCAAGGAUGUUUUCAUUAAUCAAGAACGAAAAUUAGGGGAUCGAAGACGAUCAGAUACCGUCGUAGU
This 450-nucleotide ribosomal RNA is filed under the name uncultured Glomeromycotina. RNAcentral's name for it is "SSU rRNA". It matches the Rfam family "Eukaryotic small subunit ribosomal RNA", at positions 569 to 1024 of the family's 1831-position model. The record is from RNAcentral. Lineage: Eukaryota; Fungi; Glomeromycota.